This 494-nucleotide ribosomal RNA is filed under the name Poecile rufescens. RNAcentral describes it as "partial 16S ribosomal RNA". It matches the Rfam family "Bacterial large subunit ribosomal RNA", at positions 1839 to 2538 of the family's 2925-position model. Lineage: Eukaryota; Metazoa; Chordata; Aves; Passeriformes; Paridae. The record is from RNAcentral.
ACAAGUAUUGAAGGUGAUGCCUGCCCGGUGACCCGAUGUUCAACGGCCGCGGUAUCCUAACCGUGCAAAGGUAGCGCAAUCAAUUGUCCCAUAAAUCGGGACUAGUAUGAAUGGCUAAACGAGGUCUUAACUGUCUCUUACAGGCAAUCGGUGAAAUUGAUCUCCCUGUGCAAAAGCAGGGAUAACCCCAUAAGACGAGAAGACCCUGUGGAACUUCAAAAUCAGCAACCAACCCUAAAAACAUACACACCCACCUCGGGCUCACUCACCCAACAGGGACACUGGUCUGCAUUUUUCGGUUGGGGCGACCUUGGAGCAAAACAAAACCUCCAAAAAUUGGACCACACAUCCAGACCGAGAGCAACCCCUCAACGUGCUAAUAGCACCCAGACCCAAUACAAUUGAUCAAUGGACCAAGCUACCCCAGGGAUAACAGCGCAAUCUCCUCCAAGAGUCCAUAUCGACGGGGAGGUUUACGACCUCGAUGUUGGAUC